This 3821-nucleotide unclassified non-coding RNA is filed under the name Camponotus floridanus (Florida carpenter ant). Its description in RNAcentral is "uncharacterized LOC105253902, transcript variant X1". The record is from RNAcentral. Lineage: Eukaryota; Metazoa; Arthropoda; Insecta; Hymenoptera; Formicidae.
GCAGCGACCCAACGUUGUCAAGAUGGCAGUUGGUGCACGGGGUUGAUCUCGCUCGCGGUAUGGAUUUUGCCGCGUGAUUCUUGGCGCCGCAGUGAUUCCCGUCCGUCUUCGUGGGGAAGAGAGGAGGAACAGGAGAGACAGCGCGGUGCGACCGCGGAUGCCGCAAAUGGUGUCGCGUCGCGGAAGCUCGGCCGAUCGAACGCGGUAAUGAGAAGAAUAUUUCGGAGCAGCGUGCGGUAACGGAGCCAGGGCCUCUACAAUGGUGGAUAACAGUUGUAUCAUCGAGGGAAACGUCAAAUUUCGCGACGGCAAGAAGUGGAAGUCAAGAUGGUGCGUUAUGCGAAAAUUAUCGCCAGUAGCAGAUUGCUUGCAUUUACAACUGUACGGGGAUAGUAAGGAUCGUUACAAACAAGGCCAAACGAAAGCAUCUUUGAGCUUGCAACAUUUUCUGGGAGUGGAGAGCGGUUUUACCCUUGACAAAGAAUCCAAUACAAUUGCUAUAAUUUGCCAGGAUGUGACAGUCGUUCUCGCGUUUGACACGCGAGAGCGAUUGAUUCAGUGGCAGGUUAAGAUCUCGAACAACUUGGGUGAAGAUCAGCAAUUCUUGAUACUCAUCUCUUCGGUACCGUCAAAGGCAAAGUUCACUAAUGGACCGGCCCACUUGCACAUUCAGGAUCGUCGUUUCUGCAUCACUGUCGGCGUGCCACCACGGCUCGUCGGUAUAUGGGAGAUUGCACAUCUUCGACGAUACGGUGUGGUCGAGGGUAGAUUUUGCUUCGAGGGCGGCUCUAGAUGCGGUCGAGGCGAGGGGCUACACGUUCUGAUAACCGAUCAAGGAGAUGAUAUAGUCAAGACAUUACAAUUGGCGGCCGAGGGAAAGCUCACCACGAAAAAACGAUCGCCGCUCAGUAGAGAACAAUCGAUGACGCAAGACAGCCCGGGACGACGUCAAUGUUCCCGCUCAGAGACCAGAGCCAGCGAUUUUUUCCCUUCGAUCGCUUUGUAUUCGACAUCUACGUACGAAGAACAAUGCGACAGCUGCAAGAAUGAGAACUCGCCCUAUUGGUCGUCCGCGGAGAGCAGACAACAGACAGCGGAACUCGAUGGCGAUUACAGUUGCAGGGAUACGAUGUCGAUAUCGGAACUGCCCGAUCAGCAACCUAGCGGUGAGUGGCGCAGCUGUUCGCUCACUCGUCAAGGUGCGACUGGUCUCGAGAGAUGCGCCAGUUGCAUCAGCAAACUCGGCACAGUCUCAAAAUCGUCCACCUUGAUCACGACUACUAUGAGCGGUAUAAGCAGUCCAGCCGCCAGUACGUUAAACAAUCUAGGAUGUCAUUUGCAACCUCGUACUUUCGAUCGACUCUCACUGUCCUCUUAUAGCAGUAGUAGUCACGACAGUGAUUAUUCCGGCUCGCAGCAGAUCGAAUGUCAGUGCGCGCAACCGAAAACCGCCCAGUCUCAAACGGCACAGCAGACGACGGCUCGUCGAAUGUCACCGAGCCCGAGUGCGUUGCCACCGAGACCGCCGAAACCGUCCCAACCGUCAUCACUACCAAUAGCUAAUCAAUCCGUCACUGCCAAGAAGCCUAAGAAACCGCCGAUGCCGCUACCAACCGAGCAACAACAGACUUGCGUGCACGCAUUAAAGCCCCAACAAACUCAACAGUCUCAGCAACAAUCGCAGCAGCUCGUGUCUCGCGGCGCCGCAGGACCUUAUGAGAACUACGACAUUCCAAAAACAAUCCUGGGUCAUCAUAUGCUGCUGGAGCAAGGCCCGCAACCGGAACAGUAUUAUGAUACACCAAGAAAAAUCAAAGAAUGUCUUACACUGCCGAAAACUUAUCCCAAUUAUGAUACGCCUCAGGUGCCGCAGGCCGUAGUCCUGCAAGGAUGCGGAUGUCCCGCAAAACUCACGGUUCAGUCACCCAGAUCUUCGGGAUGUCCUUGUCACAAUGUUAUGAGCUGGGCUGGUUUUGUCCUUCCUUAUUGUCGACGCGGCGCAGGAAUCGAACCUACCGGUGUCACGGUACAUCCUGUGAAGCUCUCGGGUGAAGGCAAGAUGCCAGUGGUGAAUGCCAGUGGGGAUGUAGCCAUUUAUGCAACAACUAAAAGGGUACAUAAAACUGAAUUGAUCGACGAAAAAGCUAUUGUGGAGAAUUGUGGCUGUGCUGCGACAAGUAAAUCGAACAAUUACGAGAAUGUCGAACCGGUAAUAGAUACGCAACCAGAAUCAAAGCAACCGAAUUACGUGAAUAUAGAUUUUACGCAAUCGCUCGAACAUUACGAAAACAGCAAAGACGUACUAACAAAGAGUAGCAUAUCGCAGGAAGAGAUUGAAAAAUUCGCGGAUCAGUUAAAGGAACCGGCAUCCGAAGUACCAAGGAGCGAGAGCGUUUCCAAGGUUUGCGAAAAGUGCGGUCACGCGAAGGAAAGGGAAGAUGAUUAUUUAGUUAUGGAUCCGGAGCAAACCCCGAAAAAACCAUUUCCUAGUUACUUACCGAUGCAUCCGAUUCAUAAUGCUUGUUCCAAGGAGAUCUUGUCCAGGCUUUGCAGCGGCAUCAAGAGUUCUAGCAAUCCGACAUUAUCGGGAUCCACGUUACUCGAAGGGAAUAAGAAACGUUCCGAUUCGGAGUAUCGUGUGCCAGGUUCAGCAAUGUUAUCCAGCCCGUAUCUCAGACGUCGUUAUUUGGACGCGGGUAACGUCACAGAAUCUGGUGCUAGCGGCAUAAAUAUACUUCUCAGGAAACGAUCUUACUCUGCCGAGUCCGCGCAUUAUCUGGACGACGAGAGCCAUACCUUUCCGUCCACGCUUACCAUCCACAAGUGUUCAAGCGAAGCGGACAAAAAUUCUUUGAUAACCGGCGAGCCGCAUAAUUCGUGCGUAAACUCCGAGAAUAAGAUCAGUAAUAGCAAUCACGAGAAUGGGCAGACAUUGGUGACCGGUGUCGCGUCUCAGCCGUCCUUUAUCAAAAUCCGACGCUCGUCAUCCGUACCAUCUAAGACCGGUCACAACAGAGACUCGUCGAGUAGCAACGAUUCGGGCGUUUCCACUGGCUCCUUGAGUCAUCGAACGGCGGAAUUUGUCGAGUAUGAGUUGACGGGAUCUGCCGCUUCGGCAAUAAAGCAGAAUAUGUUAUCGCAAGUUUGUCGUAAAAGUCCACCACCCACGUGUUACCACAGCAGCCUGCCGAGGAAGUCCAAAUCUAGCGAUCCUCUUCGUGAAAUCUCUUUUCAGUUUCAAAAAAUCAAGGUACCGACAAAAUCUUCGUCCGCGGAAGCUGACAUACCUACGUGUUUACCGAAGGCCACGAAGGGCUUUAACAGUCCCGGUGAAGUCUCGAAUACACCUUACAUCGAUUCUCGGAGUACUAGCAGUGGAACUUCCGACAUGUCGGAUUAUAUUGAAACUUUGUCACUAUCGUCACACUCUUCAUCUGAUACGCCCGACAGCCUACGAUUAGGAGGCAGAGCAGUAGCAACUACUCUUCGACCUCGUAGUGGGAAAGAAUACUACAAAAUUGAUCGAAGUAUAUUGGUAGAGCAGGGACGGAUUCUUACAACGGCAUCUGCUAAUUAUGCAAAUAUCACUCCAGUGUUAGAAAAGAGUGAGUCACCAUCACCUGGUUACAUGAGUAGCUCACCAUUCGAGCAACCACAACCUACUCGUGAUCAUUUUUUGUUCCCUGAAGAAGCUUGAAUGUAAUAAUAUUGUUUGGGAAAAAAAGAGAAAACUUGAAGUUCCUAGGAAUUCCAAACAAAAUGAAUUUUUAAUGUCAAAUAUGCAUUCAUACAUCGACACAAAAAAUCUAUAUAGAAGAAGA